AGGGUUUGAUCAUGGCUCAGGAUGAACGCUAGCGGCAGGCCUAACACAUGCAAGUCGAGGGGUAACGAUGGCUUCGGCCAGGCGACGACCGGCGCACGGGUGAGUAUCGCGUUUGUAACCUACCUCUGACUGGAGGAUAGCCCGAAGAAAUUCGGAUUAAUACUCCAUAAUACUAUGGACAGGCAUCUGUUCAUGGUUAAAGCCCCGGCGGUCAGAGAUGGGCAUGCGUGACAUUAGCUUGUUGGUGAGGUAACAGCUCACCAAGGCUACGAUGUCUAGGGGGUCUGAGAGGAUGGUCCCCCACACUGGUACUGAGACACGGACCAGACUCCUACGGGAGGCAGCAGUGAGGAAUAUUGGUCAAUGGGCGAAAGCCUGAACCAGCCAUGCCGCGUGAAGGAUGACAGCCCUAUGGGUUGUAAACUUCUUUUGUACGGGAAGAAACGCCUCUACGUGUAGAGGUUUGACGGUACCGUACGAAUAAGCAUCGGCUAACUCCGUGCCAGCAGCCGCGGUAAUACGGAGGAUGCAAGCGUUAUCCGGAUUUAUUGGGUUUAAAGGGUACGUANGCGGGAGCUUAAGUCAGUGGUGAAAUCCUGCAGCUUAACUGUAGAACUGUCAUUGAUACUGGGCUUCUUGAAUGUAGUUGAGGUAGGCGGAAUGUGUAAUGUAGCGGUGAAAUGCUUAGAUAUUACACAGAACACCGAUGGCGAGGGCAGCUUACUAAACUACGAUUGACGCUGAAGGUAGGAAAGCGUGGGGAGGCGACAAGGAUAGAUACCCUGGUAGUCCACGCUGUAAACGAUGAUCACUCGUGUUGGCAUACACCGUCAGCGACUGAGCGAAGCAUUUAAGUGCUCCACCUGGGGAGUACGUCGGCAACGAUGAACUCAAAAGGAAUUGACGGGGGCCCGCACAAGCGGAGGAACAUGUGGUUUAAUUCGAUGAUACGCGAGGAACCUUACCUGGGCUUAAAUGUAGAGUGCAUUGCUUGGAAACAGGCAUNUUCUUCGGAACUCUUUACAAGGUGCUGCAUGGUUGUCGUCAGCUCGUGCCGUGAGGUGUCGGGUUAAGUCCCAUAACGAGCGCAACCCCUAUUGUUAGUUACCAGCACGUAAUGGUGGGGACUCUAGCAAGACUGCCGGUGUAAACCGUGAGGAAGGUGGGGAUGACGUCAAAUCAGCACGGCCCUUAUGUCCAGGGCUACACACGUGUUACAAUGGCAAGUACAAAGAGCAGCCACCUGGCGACAGGGCGCUAAUCUCAAAAGCUUGCCUCAGUUCGGAUCGAAGUCUGCAACUCGACUUCGUGAAGGUGGAUUCGCUAGUAAUCGCGCAUCAGCCAUGGCGCGGUGAAUACGUUCCCGGGCCUUGUACACACCGCCCGUCAAGCCAUGGAAGCCGGGGGUACCUGAAGUCCGUAACCGCAAGGAUCGGCCUAGGGUAAAACAAGUGACUGGGGCUAAGUCGUAACAAGGUAACC
This 1482-nucleotide ribosomal RNA is filed under the name uncultured organism. RNAcentral's name for it is "bacterial SSU rRNA". It matches the Rfam family "Bacterial small subunit ribosomal RNA". The record is from RNAcentral.